This 273-nucleotide unclassified non-coding RNA is filed under the name air metagenome. Its description in RNAcentral is "partial contains small subunit ribosomal RNA, internal transcribed spacer 1, and 5.8S ribosomal RNA". The stretch from base 1 to 46 matches the Rfam family "Eukaryotic small subunit ribosomal RNA", at positions 1786 to 1831 of the family's 1831-position model. The record is from RNAcentral.
AAGUCGUAACAAGGUUUCCGUAGGUGAACCUGCGGAAGGAUCAUUAUUGAAGCUCGGAAUACGUGUUCGGUGCUGAUGCUGCCCAGCGAUGGGAUGUGCUCGCUCGGAUGCGUGUCCCUUCUCUAUUCCACCCCUUUGUGAACCCAAGUGUGCGAGCCGAUGAGAGAUCGGAAGCUCGCAUGCAAACCCUUAACAUACCCCAAUGAAGUAUCAGAAUGUAACUUGCGUUAACUCGCACAAAUACAACUUUCAACAACGGAUCUCUUGGCUCUC